This 659-nucleotide ribosomal RNA is filed under the name Crustoderma dryinum. RNAcentral's name for it is "eukaryotic LSU rRNA". The stretch from base 248 to 401 matches the Rfam family "5.8S ribosomal RNA". Lineage: Eukaryota; Fungi; Basidiomycota; Agaricomycetes; Polyporales. The record is from RNAcentral.
GAGGAAGUAAAAGUCGUAACAAGGUUUCCGUAGGUGAACCUGCGGAAGGAUCAUUAACAAAUGCGAAACGGGGGAGCUGUCGCUGGCCUUUUGGGGCAUGUGCACGCUCCGUCGAAUCCAAUUUAAACCUGUGAACCAACGGCGGAGGGGUCUUUGAGGUUGCUACGGCGCCGAGGGGGCCUUUCCUGCUUAUUAUUACACCCUUUGUAUGUUCAGAAUGUCUUUUGCGUAUUUUCGCAACAUAUACAACUUUCAGCAACGGAUCUCUUGGCUCUCGCAUCGAUGAAGAACGCAGCGAAAUGCGAUAAGUAAUGUGAAUUGCAGAAUUCAGUGAAUCAUCGAAUCUUUGAACGCACCUUGCGCGCUCCGGUAUUCCGGAGCGCAUGCCCGUUUGAGUGUCGUGGUAUCAUCAAACCUCCAUCGUUUCGGCGGUGGGUUGGCUUGGAUAUGGAGGUGUUGCUGGGCCCUUUUGGGUUCGGCUCCUCUCAAAUGCAUUAGCUGGGACGUUCGGUCUAAAGGCUCUGGCGUGAUAGUGAUGUUGCGUCGUGGUCUGAGGCCUCUUGUGUCACCGCUUCCAAUCGUCCGCGAGGACAGCAUUGUUUUUGACCUUUGACCUCAAAUCGGGUAGGACUACCCGCUGAACUUAAGCAUAUCAAUAA